Long non-coding RNA from Paramisgurnus dabryanus, 1697 nucleotides. RefSeq lists it as uncharacterized. Lineage: Eukaryota; Metazoa; Chordata; Actinopteri; Cypriniformes; Cobitidae. The record is from RefSeq and is a predicted model, not a curated record.
UUCAAACUGAGGAGUUCGGACUCCGGACCGGCAUUUCUGCUUGUUGGUACCCUGAGGUAAGUAAACUUUCUACAUUUUUGAAACGAUAUUACACUCUAAAAGUUGGGUUAUUUUGUUUGGUUGUUUUAUCAGUGUUGGGUAGUUUUUGUGUAACCCAACUUGUUGGGUUAUAUGUUGGGUAAUUUUGAAGCAGAGCCAGCUUAAUAGAUACAUAGCUGUUUCUCAAUAUUACUUUCUCUAGUCCACAAAAUGUAUUUUAAACAUAAGUUCAGGCGAGAAUAUAUAUGUAUAAUGUUCAAAUUUGCAGUCGGUUUGUAAAGUGAAUGCCAAUUUUAAAGUUUAAUUACACAAAGUCGGAAUGUUACCGGCGUGACCACCGGGUGUCAGUGUUGUUCUUCCCCAGAGAGAACUUCUCCCUUCCCCCACACAGACGCGUCAGUGCCUCUCACUGCAACGAUACCUGAAGCGGGAGUUUACUAAUUCACCUCAGGAUUCAUGAACGGUUUUUCAUCGACUUAUCUUUGAUUUAUUUGAAGGAAAAGACCCUGAUGGAUAAAAGAUGGAUAUUUUUUUCCUGGAGAAGCUAAAACAAUGUAACUUUGAGGUUCUGAUACCAGCUUUUACAAAGUUAUUUACAGAGUUCACAAGACUUCUAUGUGUAUUCCCUGACCAUGCCGAAAAGCUAUUUGAAACUUGGGCAUUGCAUUUUCCAGACAGAAUCCUGCACUUCCCAGCCAAGAACCAGGAGCAUCAACAAAUCACCUCCAGAACCCCAUGAUGAUAUUCCAACUCCUGUCUACAAAAGUGGGAAGAAAAUCUUAAGUCUAUGUUGGGACCAACAUGGUUGCAUUCUUCUGAGAGCCUGAUGUGACAAAACCAUUCCCAUUUGUCCUUGGAUUGGAAGAUGGCGAUCUCUGCCAUCAAGCCUUCUUUGUUUUUGACAGACAGUCACUCCAGCAAUACACCCUCCUUGGUGAUGUUGACAUGUUUUAAACUUUUUUUAUUUUUUGGACAUUAAUUUUACUAAGCAGUGCACAUCAGUGUUGGUGUUUUUGAAGACUGUUGUUUACAAACUCCCAAGAACGGAAUCCCUUUCUAUAAGAAGUCUGUGUAGUUAUUUGUCAUGCUAAGGUGAUAACUCAUGUUGAUCAUAUAUUGACUGUUUGUGCAACUUAGUGUUGAUCUUAUGUGUUACAUUAACCAUUUCUUAUUACACGGUUCUCUAAAAUGCUAGAUUCUGAUUGGCCAGUCGUGACAUUCUACUACUGCUCAAAACUAAAAACUCCAAUGUUGCAAAUCAUUUUGACAGGUAAAGUUUUAUAUUACACAAAAAAUAAAUAUCAAUGUCUAUUAAUUACAUAUCCAACAUUAAAUUUACAAAUGAUUAAAUGUGUUCGUGACAUUUGUCCUGAAGAAACUGUUGGGGCUUUUUUCUGUGAUGACAUGCUGCCAAUACAUUAUCCCUUACUUGUACAACUUUUUACUUGAUCUAAUUGUAAUGUUAACUGGGUAUCUGUCAUUUUAGAUUGUGAGAUAUAAUACUAAUAUAUUUUUUUAUAUAUAUUUAUUUAUUUAUAAUAUAUAAACGUAUGUAUGUUUAUUAAAAAGUGAAAAUGCUUAAGGGAAAUAAUUAAAUAACUAAAUGGUUGAAUGAAAUGAGACAUUUUAAAUGUAAACUAAAGUUUUGCUGUCUAAUA